AAGGAGCACCACGAAAAGCACUCCAAUUGGUGGGGUGCGAGCCGUGAGGGGUUCUCGCCUGUAGUGGGCGGGAGCCGGGUGCGCAACAGCAAAUGAUUGCCAGACACACUAUUGGGCCCUGAGACAACACUCGGCUCGUUCUGAGUGGUGUCCCUCCAUCUUGGUGGUGGGGUGUGGUGUUUGAGUAUUGGAUAGUGGUUGCGAGCAUCUAGACGGAUGCGUUGCCGGCAACGGUGGCGUGUUCGUUGAAAU
RNAcentral lists this unclassified non-coding RNA (252 nucleotides) under Mycobacterium parascrofulaceum. RNAcentral describes it as "partial 16S-23S ribosomal RNA intergenic spacer". The record is from RNAcentral. Lineage: Bacteria; Bacillati; Actinomycetota; Actinomycetes; Mycobacteriales; Mycobacteriaceae.